Molecule: transfer RNA, 74 nt
Filed under: Amycolatopsis sp. CA-230715
Lineage: Bacteria; Bacillati; Actinomycetota; Actinomycetes; Pseudonocardiales; Pseudonocardiaceae
Description: tRNA-Asn
Rfam family: tRNA
About the family: Transfer RNA (tRNA) molecules are approximately 80 nucleotides in length.
Source: RNAcentral
UCCCUCGAGGCGCAACAGGCUGCGCACCCGACUGUUAAUCGGGAGGUACCAGGUUCGAGUCCUGGCGGGGGAGC